AAAGACUCAAUUCCUAGGUUUUGAUGUUUAAUGUUUGACCGUCCGUCUUAUAUGAAAUUUUUUUUAUGAUUAGUAUUUUUAUUAUUGUUAGAUGAUAAAACAUGAAUAAUACUUUAUGCAUAACUUAUCUUUUUAAAUUUUUUUAUAAUUUUUUAUAUAAGUCAAACGGUUAAAUGUUAGACACGGAAACGCAGG
RNAcentral lists this microRNA precursor (195 nucleotides) under Oryza nivara. RNAcentral's name for it is "MIR812 microRNA precursor family". It matches the Rfam family "MIR812 microRNA precursor family". Lineage: Eukaryota; Viridiplantae; Streptophyta; Magnoliopsida; Poales; Poaceae. The record is from Rfam by way of RNAcentral.